UUUGUAUGUAUGGAUGUGUGUGCGCGCGAUGGUAUUGCUGUGAUUGAAUAGGGAACAAGAAAGAUUGAGAGAGAGAGAGAGAGAGAGAGAGAGAGAGAGAGUGAAACAGAGAAAGAGAGAGAAUACAGAGAAAGAUGAUAGAUCGAAGAAGGGAGGAAUCGAAGAACUUUCGAACUAAAAACAAAAAAAAUCAUUCAUCGAUGAUUUUGCUCGUUGUUAUCUUCAUUUCCCCAUAUUUUCAAACAAAAACCGAACACACAACUACGGGGGAACAUUCUGGUGUUUGUAUUAUUACUACUACUACUAUUAACUAUUUCUGACAACACUAAAACCCACCAAACACUAUUACUUCUCCUACAACAACAACAACAACAACAAUAGCAACAACUACUACUACUGCUACUAUUACAGGGAGAAUAACAACUACUAUAACAAAAGCUACACGACACCUAAUGCUGUUACUAAUACUUUGUGAGAGCAUCAACUAGCUCCGUUACUAAAAAAAUGAAUAUGUAAAUAAAUAAAUAAAUAAAUGAACUACUGUUGCAUUACUCUGCACCACCCCCUACUCUCACCACUCUCUCACCAGUACCAGUACCAGUACCACUACCACUACAUUGCCUGUCUCUGUCUCUUCUUUGGUUUGUUGACAGAGGUAGCAGCAGUGCAGUGGUGUUCUAGUGUUUCGAAUAUCAGUGAUAGCGCUGGAGUCCACCACAGGCAAAGACGACAUUUUCUCAUUAUAGUAAUAAUAAUGUAAGCUAGCAGUUUUAUCACCUGUAUAUAAUAUAUUUUUCGAGGUCGCUAUCAUAGGAGAUAUGAUUCCUGUUGUGGUCUUCUGCACCGACAACCGUCUCGCCACUAUCCUUCUCGUUGUCGCGUAUCCCUUUCAGUAAAUUCUCUCUUCCAAUACAUCGCCUUUCACUAAAUGAUGGAAUGCAUCCUUUAGAUAACAAUACUCUUCGAACUUCCUACACAUCCAAGCGGAUGGGAAGCGCCAAAAACACCUGGAACACUUACAAGUAUGAGAAACUCUGGGUGGACGAAACCGCAAAAGGUAAG
RNAcentral lists this long non-coding RNA (1062 nucleotides) under Octopus vulgaris (common octopus). Lineage: Eukaryota; Metazoa; Mollusca; Cephalopoda; Octopoda; Octopodidae. The record is from RNAcentral.